AUUUGUUUCGUUUAGUUGUGUGUGGUUUUAUUGUUAUUUUAGUAGCUCUUGUGUUUUUUGAGAUUUAUCCUCUAUUUAUUUUUAUUGUUUGAAAUGUUUUGGGAUGUUUUGCUUUCAGAUUGGGGAUGAGUUCUUCGUUAUUGAUGGCGAUAUCUUGAAAUGGCGCCUCACGGCGAUUAACUCUCCCAUUCGCUUCGAUGAGGCUAGACUCUAUCAUGUCCCUCUCCUCGUGUGAUGAUGUUCUUGGGUGAUUUAAGUGCUUUGGAGAUUGAAUUAUUGAUUGAUGCUGGGGCUAUUUUCUGUUGGGGUUUGCUCCUUUGUGAUUUUCUACCGAAUCUGUUGUUUGACUUUGUAUGUCUGGAUUUUUGCUUCUUGUCUCAUGUUUUGAAUUUUUGCAUGUCACUGUUUGGUCUGUGCAAUUUGUUCUUUG
This 430-nucleotide long non-coding RNA is filed under the name Manihot esculenta (cassava). RNAcentral describes it as "long non-coding RNA (MESC_LNC004879)". Lineage: Eukaryota; Viridiplantae; Streptophyta; Magnoliopsida; Malpighiales; Euphorbiaceae. The record is from RNAcentral.